CAGUGAGGCAGGAAUGAGGGGCUUGUCCUGGGGGUGCCUCUCCUGCCUUGGCUGUUCUGGAGAAGCACAUGGGCUUUACCAGCCUGGAUCUGCCCACAUUUGGAGAGCUGCCCCUGUGUGGGGGAUGGACAGCAAAGAGGUGAUGGCUGCAGUGAUGGACAGAGCCAAGAGUGCCAAGGAAGCUCAUGAAGUUGUGCCAGGAGUGGUGAUGCAGCCGAGGGCUGCUUUGCCUGAGUGGUGCCUCCCUGCAGCUCGAGAAAAACAUAUAUGGCUCUAUUUGAACCUAACUGACUGCUGCGUGCCCUGCACAUCUGUGCUGGGUGGUGGGAUCGACGUCUCCGCUGAACUUUGGCCAAAAAGGGCAAUCACAGCAAACAGCAAUGAAACAGCAGUGUUGGAGCAGAUUUGACCUUCUGAGGCAUGAAUUUAAAACACAGAUGAGAGCUUGUGCCAAGAGGCUUCUUGGGAGCAUUGGGUCUGUUCUCAUUAAAGGCUGUGGGUUAA
Long non-coding RNA from Pipra filicauda (Wire-tailed manakin), 504 nucleotides. RefSeq lists it as uncharacterized. The transcript is spliced from 3 exons. NCBI's taxonomy places the organism in Eukaryota, Metazoa, Chordata, Aves, Passeriformes, Pipridae. The record is from RefSeq and is a predicted model, not a curated record.